This 193-nucleotide ribosomal RNA is filed under the name Limnomysis benedeni. Its description in RNAcentral is "partial 28S ribosomal RNA". It matches the Rfam family "Eukaryotic large subunit ribosomal RNA", at positions 716 to 902 of the family's 3401-position model. The record is from RNAcentral. Lineage: Eukaryota; Metazoa; Arthropoda; Malacostraca; Mysida; Mysidae.
CUUUWAAAGUACUGAGGGCUGAUCCUAGUCCUCGUGACUGGGCGCAAGCUCGGGACUUGCCAUCCCCAUUGUGGGAGGUUAGUACCAGGAGUGCACCUGGUAGGACCCGAAAGAUGGUGAACUAUGCCCGGCCAGGACGAAGCCAGAGGAAACUCUGGUGGAGGUCCGUAGCGAUUCUGACGUGCAAAUCGAU